This 299-nucleotide signal recognition particle RNA is filed under the name Sphaeramia orbicularis (orbiculate cardinalfish). RNAcentral describes it as "Metazoan signal recognition particle RNA (ENSSORG00005020942.1)". It matches the Rfam family "Metazoan signal recognition particle RNA". Rfam says of the family: The signal recognition particle (SRP) is a universally conserved ribonucleoprotein. The record is from Rfam by way of RNAcentral. Lineage: Eukaryota; Metazoa; Chordata; Actinopteri; Kurtiformes; Apogonidae.
GCCGGGUGCGGUGGCGCGCGCCUGUAAUCCAAGCUACCGGGAGGCUGAGGCUGGCGGAUGGUUUGAGCUCAGGAGCUCUGAGCUGCAGCGGACUAUGCCGAUCGGGUGUCCGCACUAAGUUCGGUAUCGGUAUGGUGUUCCUGGGGAAGCCCGGGACCACCAGGUCGCCUAAGGAGGGGUGCACCGGCCCAGGUCGGAAACGGAGCAGGUCAAAGCCCCCGUGCCGCUCAGUAGUGGGAUCGCACCUGUGAGUAGACGCUGUAGUGCAGCCUGAGUAAUACAGCAAGACCCAGUCUUUU